GACGAACGCUGGCGGCGUGCUUAACACAUGCAAGUCGAACGGAAAGGCCCUGCUUGCAGGGUACUCUAGUGGCGAACGGGUGAGUAACACGUGUGUGUUCCGCCCUGUACUUCUUGAUAUGCCUGGGCAACUGGGUCUAAUACCCGAUAUAGGCCAUCUUUAGUGUGUUGGUUGGAUAGUUUUUUCGGUCUUGGAUGAGCUUGCGGCCUAUCAGCCUGUUGGGUGGGUAAUUGCCUACCAAGGCGGCGUCGGGUAGCCGGCCUGAGAGGGUGGACGGCCACAUUGGGACUGAGGUAGGGGCCAGACGGCUAAGGGGAGGAGAAGUGGGGAAAAAUGCAAAAGGGGCGGAAAGCUGGUGGAAGGAAGCCGCGGGGGGGAAGACGGGCUUCGGGUUGUAAACUCCUUUCGCUAGGGAAGAAACUUUUUGUGACGGUACCUAGAUAAGAAGCACCGGCUAACUACGUG
Molecule: ribosomal RNA, 465 nt
Filed under: uncultured bacterium
Lineage: Bacteria
Description: partial 16S ribosomal RNA
Rfam family: Bacterial small subunit ribosomal RNA
Source: RNAcentral